AGUGAACGCUGGCGGUAGGCCUAACACAUGCAAGUCGAACGGCAGCACAGUAAGAGCUUGCUCUUACGGGUGGCGAGUGGCGGACGGGUGAGGAAUACAUCGGAAUCUACUUUUUCGUGGGGGAUAACGUAGGGAAACUUACGCUAAUACCGCAUACGACCUACGGGUGAAAGUAGGGGAUCUUCGGACCUUGCGCGAUUGAAUGAGCCGAUGUCGGAUUAGCUAGUUGGCGGGGUAAAGGCCCACCAAGGCGACGAUCCGUAGCUGGUCUGAGAGGAUGAUCAGCCAAACUGGAAAUGAGAAACGGCCCAGAACCUGAGGGGGGGCAGGAGUGGGGAAUAUUGGAAAAGGGGCGCAAGCUUUAUCCAGCCAUACCGGGGGGGUGAAGAAGGCCUUCGGGUUUUAAAGCCUUUUUGUUGGAAAAAAAAAGCAGCCGGUUAAUACCCCCCUGUUCGGAGGGUACCCAAAGAAUAAGCACCGGCUAAUUUCGU
This 491-nucleotide ribosomal RNA is filed under the name uncultured bacterium. Its description in RNAcentral is "partial 16S ribosomal RNA". It matches the Rfam family "Bacterial small subunit ribosomal RNA", at positions 29 to 506 of the family's 1533-position model. The record is from RNAcentral.